RNAcentral lists this ribosomal RNA (498 nucleotides) under uncultured bacterium. Its description in RNAcentral is "partial 16S ribosomal RNA". It matches the Rfam family "Bacterial small subunit ribosomal RNA", at positions 30 to 523 of the family's 1533-position model. The record is from RNAcentral.
AUUGAACGCUGGCGGCAUGCUUUACACAUGCAAGUCGAACGGUAACAGGCCGCAAGGUGCUGACGAGUGGCGAACGGGUGAGUAAUGCAUCGGAACGUGCCCAGUCGUGGGGGAUAACGCAGCGAAAGCUGCGCUAAUACCGCAUACGAUCUAUGGAUGAAAGCGGGGGACCGUAAGGCCUCGCGCGAUUGGAGCGGCCGAUGUCAGAUUAGGUAGUUGGUGGGGUAAAGGCUCACCAAGCCGACGAUAUGUAGCUGGUCUGCGAGGACGACCAGCCACACUGGGACUGAGACACGGCCCAGACUCCUACGGGAGGCAGCAGUGGGUAAUUUUGGACAAUGGGCGCAAGCCUGAUCCAGCAAUGCCGCGUGCAGGAAGAAGGCCUUCGGGUUGUAAACUGCUUUUGUACGGAACGAAACGGUCCUGGUUAAUACCCGGGGCUAAUGACGGUACCGUAAGAAUAAGCACCGGCUAACUACGUGCCAGCCGCCGCCGUAA